RNAcentral lists this ribosomal RNA (497 nucleotides) under uncultured bacterium. RNAcentral's name for it is "partial 16S ribosomal RNA". It matches the Rfam family "Bacterial small subunit ribosomal RNA", at positions 28 to 507 of the family's 1533-position model. The record is from RNAcentral.
GAUGAACGCUGGCGGCGUGCCUAAUACAUGCAAGUCGAGCGAACAGACGAGGAGCUUGCUCCUCUGACGUUAGCGGCGGACGGGUGAGUAACACGUGGAUAACCUACCUAUAAGACUGGGAUAACUUCGGGAAACCGGAGCUAAUACCGGAUAAUAUAUUGAACCGCAUGGUUCAAUAGUGAAAGACGGUUUUGCUGUCACUUAUAGAUGGAUCCGCGCCGCAUUAGCUAGUUGGUAAGGUAACGGCUUACCAAGGCAACGAUGCGUAGCCGACCUGAGAGGGUGAUCGGCCACACGGGAACUGAGACACGGUCAAGACUCCUACGGGAGGCAGCAGUAGGGAAUCUUCCGCAAUGGGCGAAAGCUUGACGGAGCAACGCCGCGUGAGUGAUGAAGGUCUUCGGAUCGUAAAACUCUGUUAUUAGGGAAGAACAAAUGUGUAAGUAACUAUGCACGUCUUGACGGUACCUAAUCAGAAAGCCACGGCUAACUACGUG